RNAcentral lists this long non-coding RNA (199 nucleotides) under Hordeum vulgare. RNAcentral describes it as "long non-coding RNA (HVUL_LNC020243)". The record is from RNAcentral. Lineage: Eukaryota; Viridiplantae; Streptophyta; Magnoliopsida; Poales; Poaceae.
AUUUAUCGAAUACAAUAGAAGAUUAGUCUCCGAAUACAAUUCAUCAUAUUAGUCUCCGAAUUUAAAAUACCGAACAAAGCUAGAACAUUACAAGUCUCGAGACCGCGAGUAGCGCGUUUGUCUUCACAUUACAAGUCGAUAUCGACCAUCUAAACUACCAUCACAUAGAAGAGAGUUGCGGUCAUCACGAUGAGCAUAU